This 6377-nucleotide long non-coding RNA is filed under the name Xyrichtys novacula (pearly razorfish). Lineage: Eukaryota; Metazoa; Chordata; Actinopteri; Labriformes; Labridae. The record is from RNAcentral.
UUGGGGAUUUCAGAGCUUUAUCUUGAUGCUCUUUUGUGUGAUUUGCCUGUGGGUUUAAAGCCCAGUGUACUGUAUACGAACAUACAGAUUACUGACUCCUGUAAGAUGAUUACUCUGUGUGUGUCAGUGAUGGAGCUGUGUUAGAAAGGAGGCAUAGAAACACAAACAUAUAUGUGAUAUAACUCCAAUCAUAUUACAGACAUUAUGUGCCCAACAGUAAAACAUGAUCAUCAUGUGCUAGGACGCAGUAACAGGUUUAAACCCUGUCUGGUCUGUGACUACAAUCUAGCUCAGUCAGGGAGAGAGAAAUGAAGCAGGUGUGUUUGCUUUCACUUAAAACUUAAACUUAAUAAUGAGGUCAACUCAUUUGACAAGCUUUUAGUCAUAUUUGAGUCUUUUCAGUUGAAACUUUUUCACUUUCAGGAAGUUUCUAAAGAUUUUUCUCCUAAUUGUAAAAAUCUGAGAUGAAAGCAAGAAAACCUGCUGUAGACUACUACAAACUGUUAAGUGAUAUAUUCUAUCCUGAUUAUAAAACACAAGGGGGAGGUCUGUCAGAGGGAAAAUUUAUUGUAACCAUUAUCAUAACCAAGUUAUACCAUUAAAGGAGUAUGUCCAACGAGAAGUUGUCAUUAUAGUUAAUAAGCUAACAUUGGUUGGAGAGGAUGGCCACAGGCAAAGUUCUGCCACCGUUUGACGAGAAGUAGUCAUACAAAAGCUGGUAAAAUGAGGUCAAAAUUUAAAGCUAGUCACAGACUUGGACAAGAAGAAGCAGGUGUUAGCAGUAGCACUGUUCUUAAUGGAACAUGUGAGGGACAGCAUGCUGGAAAAAGCAGUGGAGGACUUAAACAAGGAUGAUGGAAUGACUAAACUGCACUCUUACAAUGGUUGGGUUAAAAACAUUCCGACUUGGGUAGUUUUUCAACCCAGUGCUGGUAAAUAUUGGACAGAACACAUGCUAGGUUAAUUUUACCCAACUAAUUGGGUUGCUUCACUUAACCCAACAAUUGGGUUGUUUAUAUAACUCAAUUGGGUUGUUCAUGUAACCCAACUAAGGGUUUACAAUAACUACUCUGCUGGGUUCUUUAAACCCAGCAUGUUGCUUUAAAUUACAUUAGAGCAUCAGAUUUCAUAUAGCACUUUAUCAGAGACCUUCAAAGCACUUUACAUUGAAGACAUCAUUUAUUCGCUCACACAGUCACACCUUGGUCGUGUUAAACUGCCUUAGUAGUCACAGCUGCCCUGGGGCAGACUGACGGAAAUGUGAUUGCCAGUUUGCACCUACGGCCUCUCUAACCACCACCACCACACUCACAAUUAUACAGUAGUGGAGGACACACUGGGAGCAGUCACUUAACCUAGUGAUUGGGUUGAAAAAAACAUUUUUUUGUGUGUGUUAACGAAACUGGACUUUUAAAAAAGGAAAAAGGUUGCCAGUACGAGGCAUACAUGGUGUUAGACCAGAUAAUGAGGGAAAAUGGUGUUCAGAUGGUAGAUUUUAUUGUUGAAUUUGAACAGCCAUACAACAGAAUCAGUAAGUUUAAUAUGCAGCUUGCUCUUACCGUGUGUCCAAGCCUCUCAUUUGAUAGCAUGAAGACUGCCUUGAAGAGAAUCUUUGGUGACAGCACACCACAAGAGACCGCCUGUGAACAUUUUAGCGGAGGUAAUGACUCUGCCUAUUACACCAGGAAUACUGGUAGGAGAGAACCUAAAGUCCUGCAAAAGACCGUGCAGGGCACAAAUCCACUUGACAGGUAUGGGAAACACAACUGAUUUGCAGUCUGUCAGAGUACUUACCAGUGGGUAAAAGACUGUCUAAAUAAGAAUGAACAUGCUAAAUUCACAGCAGAUGAACAAAAACAAAUAUUGUUGAAGAGUGUAACAUCACUUUUUUUUUGUCAAAAGAGUUUCUGUCUGACACAGAAAUCUUCAUGGUCGAAUCCUUGAGAUUAGCUGUAAUUGAUGCAGCUUAGAUAGAUAGAUAGAUAGAUAUUCUUUAUUGAUCCCAAACUGGGAAAUUCUCAUGUUACAGCAGCAAAAAAAUACAAAAUAAAAUUGAAUAUAAGAGGAAGUCUGUACAAUGCAGACUAAAAAUACUAAAAAUACUAAAUACACUGUGUGCACAAUUAUUAGGCAAGUGAGUAUUUUGAUCAUAUCAUUUUUAUGCAUAUUUUCCAACUCAAAGCUGUAUAAACUUGAAUGCUUAUUGGAUAUAAGCAUAUCAGGUAAUGUGUAUUUGUGUAAUGGUGGAGGCCGGGGCCUAAGGAGAUCAAAACCCUAAAUCAAGGUGUGCAUAAUUAUUAGGCAGCUUCUUUUCCUCAAGUAAAAUGGGCCAAAAAAGAGAUUUAAGUGACUCUGAAAAGUCAAAAAAUGUAAAAAGUCUUUCAGAGGGAUGCAGCACUCUUGAAAUUGCUUAGAUAUUUGGGCGUGAUCACAGAAUCAGCAAACAUUUUGAUGCAAAUAGUCAACAGGGUCGCAAGAAAUGUGUUAAGAAAAAAAGACGCAAAUUAACUGCCAAAGAUUUGAGAAGACUCAAACGUAAAGCUACCAGGAAUCGCUUAUCCUCCGGUGCUGUCAUAUUCCAGAACUGGAGUGCCCAGAAGUACAAGGUGUUCAGUGCUUAGAGACAUGGCCAAGGUAAGGAAGGCUGAAAUCUGACCACCACUGAACAAGACACACAGUCGAAACGUCAAGACUGGGCCAAGAAAUAUCUGAAGAGAGAUUUUUCAAAGGUUUUUAUGGACUGAUGGGAUGAGAGUGACUGUUGACGGACCAGAUGGAUGGACCCGUGGCUGGAUCAGUAAUGGGCACAGAGCUCCACUUCGACUCAGACACCAGCAAGGUGGAGGCGGGGUACUGGUAUGGGAUGGUAUUAUUAAAGAUGAGCUAGCUGGACCUUUUGGGUUAAAGAUGGACUUAAAAUCAACUCCCAAACCUACUGCCAGUUUUGAAAAGACACUUUCUUCAAGCAGUGGUACAGGCAAAAGUCUGCAUCUUUCAAGAAAACCAUGAUUUUUAUGCAGGACAAUGCUCCAUUGCAUGCAACAGAGUACUCCACUAUGUGGCUCGCCAGUAAAGGCCUUAAAAACGAAAGAAUAAUGACGUGGCCUCCUUCUUCACCUGACCCAAACCCUGUUGAGAACUUGUGAGCCCCUCUUACAGUUUUUCUCAGUUGCUUUGCUACAUUUCUCAGAUCAGAAUUGAAAUUCUCAAAACUACGUGUUCAAUCUUCACAUCACUGUGCCACUUGUGCACAUCAGAAAAGCAGUUUCUCAUUUCUUUGAACAACUUGCAAAUGCUUUGGUACAGCCAUGCAAAUGAUUAUGUACAAUUUUCUGCUGUUUUCUACAUUAUCAAUUGCUUAUGUCAUGUUGAUCAAAAUGUACUAUAAUGGGUCUCUGUUGAAUAGUCUCACCCCCCACAACAUUUAGGCAUUAGUUCAUCGCACAAGUCUUUACAUGCAAAAUGGUUGAACACGCUGUCAUAAUAUGUCAAGCAUAUUUCUAUACAUUUCCAUUAGACGUUUCUGAAUCUGUCCUGAAUUGGUAAAUUGCUCCCAGGUGAAUCUUGACUUUCUCUAACGGUGGGAAAUGUGUGAAGCAUUAGAUCAACCAAUGAUCAACCACUUUUCUGAAACAGCUCAAAGGUGCAUCUCAUGAACCAUCAACUGGCAAGUAUAUAUUGCCAGGGCACAACACAAUGUUACAAUGUCUGACAAUGGAAGGACAAGGAAAUGGACGGGGUCAACAGCCAGAGAGAAGAAGAGGAAGAGGAGUGAGGCUGCGUGGCGGAGGAGUUGGGAGGCAAAACAGAGGAAGAGGCAGAAGAGGCAGAGGACAAAUGCACGUUCCUGAUGAGAUAAGAGCUACACUUGUAGACCACGUUCUCAAUCAUGGGCUUACAAUGGCUGAGGCUGGCCGAAGGGUGCAGCCAAAUGUUGGGAGAACAACUGUGUCCUCAAUCAUUCAGACUUUUCGUUGACAGAACAGGUUUGUAAUCUAACAAUAGGCACUGUACUGUAAUACUGUAUACUUUCUGUAAUGCUUCAUACAAUAUUGCAGUAUUCGACUUUCAUUUUACAAUAUACAGUAAGUAUAGUAUAUACAGUGACAUUUUGGAUGAGUGACAUUUUGUGGAUAAGAAUUUGUUGCCCAACAGACAGGAACAUCAGGAGGUGUAGGAAGACUGUACUGUAAUUCCUACAGCACUGCAUUUCCAGUUUUCCCUAAGGAAAUUGUCCUAUGUUCACAUUUCUACUUUUGUUUUUUUGUUUUUUUUAUUGUGCUCUGCAGUGCUGUCUUUUUCUUUUCUGUAUCGCAAUGACAUGGUCUGUCAUCAAAUUACAGUCUCUUGCAAUCAAUGCAAUCAAUCUCCCACAUACACUGAGGUGUAACUUACAAUUUACAAUGAUUGUCAUCAAAACUUUAGCCAUAGUUUACAUCAGAACAUCCCUCCAGAGUACACUGUUAUAUUGACAACAUGACUAAGCAAUUUGACUGUCUUAUCCGUACACAAUGACACAAGGACUUGUCAUUCUGAUGGCACUGACAUGUUCAUUGACACAGAUAUUUACUUUUGAGAGAUGUACUAAGGAUUUUGAGCAAGAGACUGGCUUUUGCAGGUAAUCCAUGGUGUUUUGCUAUUUGUACAAAUUGUUUUGAGAAAAGAACUAACUGUUUUGCAAAUGUCGAGGAUGAUUCGAGAAAUGUACCAAAGCGACUGAGAAAAACUGUAAACGGGAAAUUUACAGUGAAGGAAGACAGUACACCUCUCUGAACAGUGUCUGGAACAGUGUCUGGAAGGCUUUGGUUACUGCAACACAAAAAGUUGAUCGUCAACAAGAAACUGAAAGACUCCAUGAAUGAAAGGCUUAUGACUGUUAAUGAAAAGAAGGGUGGCUAUAUUGGUCACUGAUUUUUUUUUUAAAUUUCAACAAUUUUUAUUUGUAAAUUGAGUUGUUUGUUUAUCAUUCUCACUUUAAUAAGUGAAAAUAAACAAGUGAGAUGGAAAAUUUUUCAUUUUUAAUUUAGUUGCAUAAUAAUUCUGCACACUAAUAGCUGCCCCCAAUAAUUGUGCACACAUAGAUAUUCGCCUAAGGAAGUCAAAAUCUCACUUUUACUCCCUUAAAUAUUAAGGUUUGAGGUUUAUUAACAUUUUGGAUUGACCGAGAGCACUGUAGUUGUUCAAAAAUAAAAUUUAUCCUCAAAAAUACAACUUGCCUAAUAAUUGUGCACACAGUGUAUAUACAAUAGAUACAGACUAAAUAUACUAAACAUCCUAAGAGGAAAAAAAAGGGGAGAAAAAAAAGCUUGUUCAAGAACUGUAUGGGGAGAAAAGUGGCUGGCUCAUUAUCUCAGUGCACUGAAACAGAAUGAAUUAGACAACAUUUAGGACAAAAAGAGUGCAGGGUCGUUCAGGUUUGGCGAUGGCAGAUGUGUUUAUUCGACAAAGAUAGUAACAAUCCCAGCCAUGAUUGGAAAGACUAAAAGCCUGAGCUACUAAAAACACAUGCAAACUUGAUAGCGCAUACAAAGCUGAUCCGCUAACCAGGUGCACCAAGGAUUGUGUCUGUCAAAUGGACAAAACAGCACGUGCCUUUCAAACACAAGCAUGUUUGAAAGGCACGCCUUUCAAGAGUGUGUCAACAUAUUUGGACUGUCAGAAAUAGAAAAUACGGCAUGGUUCAGAAUAGAUACAUGCCAUAUCUCCUAUUGAAACACUGCAUUUUUCUGCACCUGGAUCGUUUUAGAGCACCAUCGCAGUUAGUGGGUCUCCCAGAGUAGUUUUUCUGGUUUUUCAAGUGUUGAAUGCUGUGUCAGGAUGGGCAAGUAUAUCUGCUUCCCAUGCACUCGGGAAGCAGUAAAUGACACAAAACACGGCAGGUCUUGGGGUCCUGUCGAGUCUUAUAGACUGAGUGCUGGGGAGCUCUGAGUCUAAAAGCUUAUGAUUUAUUUUGUUUUUCUGGUAAAUGACGGUUUUCAAAAAUAAUUAGGCCAAACAAAAAACAAACAUGAAUCGGUUUGUCUUCUUGAUUUUAGAUUGUUUAAAUUUCUUUUUUCAUUUCAAAUAUAUUUUCUUGCAUCUGUAAAGCGCUUUGAAUUGCCUUGUGUGUAAAAGAUGCUGUACAACUUGCCUUGCCUUUUAUGCAGUUAAACGAGACAAUGGAUGUGACCGGGGACAGCAUUGGACCGGGCUAUGAUGGCAAAAAAGACUCAAUGCACAAUAUACACAGCUACAGUCAUUACCGGUUGGUGUUUGGGCAAAACCCAAAUCUGCCAUCAGCGUUCACUGAUAAGCCCCCUGCUCUAGAGAGCAGUUGGAUAUCCCAAAACAUCACUGCAUUACAUGCUGCAAGGAAAGCAUUUGCAGCGGCUGAAUGC